RNAcentral lists this transfer RNA (90 nucleotides) under Caedimonas varicaedens. RNAcentral describes it as "Caedibacter varicaedens tRNA-Ser". It matches the Rfam family "tRNA". From Rfam's summary of the family: Transfer RNA (tRNA) molecules are approximately 80 nucleotides in length. Their secondary structure includes four short double-helical elements and three loops (D, anti-codon, and T loops). RNAcentral also lists the same sequence under 2 other names. Lineage: Bacteria; Pseudomonadati; Pseudomonadota; Alphaproteobacteria; Holosporales; Caedimonadaceae. The record is from RNAcentral.
GGAGGGAUGCCGGAGCGGUCGAACGGGGCGGUCUCGAAAACCGUUGUACGUGCAAACGUACCGUGGGUUCGAAUCCCACUCCCUCCGCCA